GACGAACGCUGGCGGCGUGCUUUAUACAUGCAAGUCGAACGAUGAAGUUCCUUCGGGAAUGGAUUCGUGGCGAACGGGUGCGGAACACGUUAGAAACCUGCCUUUCAUUCUGGGAUAACACCGGGAAACCGGUUCUAAUACCGGAUACUCCGUCUUGGCGGCAUCGCCGCGCCGGGAAAAAAUUUUGAUGAAAGACGGUCUCGCGGCCUAUCAGCUAUUUGGGGAGGUAAAGGCUCACCAAGGCGACGACGGGUAGCCGGCCUGAGAGGGCGACCGGCCACACUGGGACUGGGACAAGGCCCAGACUCCUACGGGGGGCAGCAGUAGGGAAUAUUGGGCAAUGGGGGCAAGCCUGACCCAGCGACGCCGCGUGAGGGAUGAAGGUCUUCGGAUUGUAAACCUCUUUCAGUAGGGAAGAAGCGAAAGUGACGGUACCUAAAGAAGAAGCACCGGCUAACUAUGUGCCAGCAGCCGCCGUAA
RNAcentral lists this ribosomal RNA (480 nucleotides) under uncultured bacterium. RNAcentral describes it as "partial 16S ribosomal RNA". It matches the Rfam family "Bacterial small subunit ribosomal RNA", at positions 28 to 523 of the family's 1533-position model. The record is from RNAcentral.